This 555-nucleotide long non-coding RNA is filed under the name Homo sapiens (human). RNAcentral describes it as "HSALNT0372348". The record is from RNAcentral. Lineage: Eukaryota; Metazoa; Chordata; Mammalia; Primates; Hominidae.
CUGCUUUCAGCACUUACUUGAAAAAUGUGGUACCACUUCCUUCUGGUCUCCAUUGUUCCAUAUGAGAAAUCCAAAUGGGUGCUUUCCUAUAAUUAAUGUCUUUUUUCAUUUUGUUCCUUUGGUUUUAAGAUGCUUUUGUCUUUAGUUUUCAGACGUUUGAUUAUGAUGUGUCUUGGCAGGGACUUUAUUCUAUUUGAGGUUCAAUUGGCUUCUUGAAUCUGUAGGUUUAUGUAUUUCACCAAAUUUAGGAAGUUUUCAGCCAUUAUUUCUUCAAGCUCCACGCUUUCAGCCCCACUUUCUUUCUCCUUUCUUUCUGGGAUUCUGAUGAUUCCAGUGUUGGAUCUUUUAUUAUUGCCUCACAGGUCUUGGAAGUUCUACCCAUUCUUUUCAGUCUCUUCUCUCUGCUGCUCAGAUUAUGUAAACUCUAUUGGUCUGUCCUCUACUCCUUCUAUCCUCUGUCAUCUGUCUUCUACUAUUGAGUUAAAUGAUACUUACACAAUAGUGAAUGACACACAGAAGUUAUGAAUAUAAGAAAGAAACAAAGAAACAAAGAAA